Molecule: ribosomal RNA, 492 nt
Filed under: uncultured bacterium
Lineage: Bacteria
Description: partial 16S ribosomal RNA
Rfam family: Bacterial small subunit ribosomal RNA
Source: RNAcentral
AGUGAACGCUGGCGGUAGGCCUAACACAUGCAAGUCGAACGGCAGCACAGUAAGAGCUUGCUCUUACGGGUGGCGAGUGGCGGACGGGUGAGGAAUACAUCGGAAUCUACUUUUUCGUGGGGGAUAACGUAGGGAAACUUACGCUAAUACCGCAUACGACCUACGGGUGAAAGCAGGGGAUCUUCGGACCUUGCGCGAUUGAAUGAGCCGAUGUCGGAUUAGCUAGUUGGCGGGGUAAAGGCCCACCAAGGCGACGAUCCGUAGCUGGUCUGAGAGGAUGAUCAGCCACACUGGAACUGAGACACGGUCCAGACUCCUACGGGAGGCAGCAGUGGGGAAUAUUGGACAAUGGGCUCAAGCCUGAUCCAGCCAUACCGCGUGGGUGAAGAAGGCCUUCGGGUUGUAAAGCCCUUUUGUUGGGAAAGAAAAGCAGCAGGUUAAUACCCCGCUGUUCUGACGGUACCCAAAGAAUAAGCACCGGCUAACUUCGUG